AAGUCGUAACAAGGUUUCCGUAGGUGAACCUGCGGAAGGAUCAUUACCAAAUCCAAAAAAAACUUUAUCAACACCCCAAUGUGCACUGAGAAUGGUUCCGUUCCCUCCUUCCCGGAGGAGGGAAUGUACUUUUUUUUUUCAACCCCUUUACAACUAUACAAACCUAUACUUUAUGCUGAAAGCAAAACAAAAACGAAACAUGAGACAACUUUUAACGGUGGAUCUCUUGGCUCGU
RNAcentral lists this unclassified non-coding RNA (235 nucleotides) under fungal sp. RNAcentral describes it as "partial internal transcribed spacer region". The stretch from base 1 to 46 matches the Rfam family "Eukaryotic small subunit ribosomal RNA", at positions 1786 to 1831 of the family's 1831-position model. Lineage: Eukaryota; Fungi. The record is from RNAcentral.